RNAcentral lists this ribosomal RNA (449 nucleotides) under uncultured bacterium. Its description in RNAcentral is "bacterial SSU rRNA". It matches the Rfam family "Bacterial small subunit ribosomal RNA", at positions 29 to 506 of the family's 1533-position model. The record is from RNAcentral.
AUGAAUGCUGGCGGCGUGCCUAACACAUGCAAGUCGAGCGGUAACAGGGGUAAUUUAUUACCUGCUGACGAGCGGCGGACGGCUGAGUAACGCGUGGGAACAUACCCCAAAGUGAGGGAUAACUGCCCGAAAGGGUGGCUAAUACCGCAUAUGGUCUUCGGAUUAAAGGAUUUAUCCGCUUUGGGAAUGGCCUGCGUACGAUUAGAUAGUUGGUGAGGUAAAGGCUUACCAAGUCUACGAUCGUUAACUGGUCUGAGAGGAUGAUCAGUCAGACUGGAACUGAGACACGGUCCAGACUCCUACGGGAGGCAGCAGUGAGGAAUCUUCCACAAUGGGCGAAAGCCUGAUGGAGCAACGCCGCGUGCAGGAUGAAGGCCUUCGGGUCGUAAACUGCUUUUAAAAGUGAAGAAUAUGACGGUAGCUUUUGAAUAAGCACCGGCUAACUACGU